RNAcentral lists this ribosomal RNA (253 nucleotides) under uncultured bacterium. Its description in RNAcentral is "partial 16S ribosomal RNA". It matches the Rfam family "Bacterial small subunit ribosomal RNA", at positions 524 to 776 of the family's 1533-position model. The record is from RNAcentral.
UACGUAGGGGGCAAGCGUUGUCCGGAUUUAUUGGGCGUAAAGAGCGUGUAGGCGGCCUGACAGGUCUGCUGUGAAAACUCGAGGCUCAACCUCGAGAUGUCGGCGGAAACCGUCUGGCUAGAGUCCGGAAGAGGAGAGUGGAAUUCCUGGUGUAGCGGUGAAAUGCGCAGAUAUCAGGAAGAACACCUAUGGCGAAGGCAGCUCUCUGGGCCGUAACUGACGCUGAGGAGCGAAAGCAUGGGGAGCGAACAGG